RNAcentral lists this ribosomal RNA (465 nucleotides) under uncultured bacterium. RNAcentral's name for it is "partial 16S ribosomal RNA". It matches the Rfam family "Bacterial small subunit ribosomal RNA", at positions 338 to 795 of the family's 1533-position model. The record is from RNAcentral.
CCUACGGGGGGCAGCAGUGGGGAAUAUUGCGCAAUGGGCGAAAGCCUGACGCAGCGACGCCGCGUGAGGGAUGAAGGUCUUCGGAUCGUAAACCUCUGUCAGCAGGGAAGAACGGUCACUGUGCUAAUCAGCCGUGAAUUGACGGUAUCUGCAAAGGAAGCACCGGCUAACUCCGUGCCAGCAGCCGCGGUCAUACGGAGGGUGCGAGCGUUAAUCGGAAUUACUGGGCGUAAAGCGCUCGUAGGCGGUAUGUCAAGUCAAGGGUGAAAUCCCCGCGCUCAACGUGGGAACUGCCUGUGAAACUGGCAAACUGGAGUGUGUGAGAGGAUAGUGGAAUGUCAGGUGUAGGAGUGAAAUCCGUAGAUAUCUGGAGGAACACCAGUGGCGAAGGCGACUAUCUGGCACAUAACUGACGCUGAGGAGCGAAAGCGUGGGUAGCAAACAGGAUUAGAUACCCCGGUAGUC